CAGUAGCCGCGGUAAUACGGAGGAUCCAAGCGUUAUCCGGAAUCAUUGGGUUUAAAGGGUCCGUAGGCGGUCUUGUAAGUCAGUGGUGAAAGCCCAUCGCUCAACGGUGGAACGGCCAUUGAUACUGCAGGACUUGAAUUAUUGGGAAGUAACUAGAAUAUGUAGUGUAGCGGUGAAAUGCUUAGAGAUUACAUGGAAUACCAAUUGCGAAGGCAGGUUACUACCAAUUGAUUGACGCUGAUGGACGAAAGCGUGGGUAGCGAACAGGAUUAGAUACCCCAGUAUCCCUGUCUCUUAUACA
This 301-nucleotide ribosomal RNA is filed under the name uncultured bacterium. RNAcentral's name for it is "partial 16S ribosomal RNA". It matches the Rfam family "Bacterial small subunit ribosomal RNA", at positions 509 to 809 of the family's 1533-position model. The record is from RNAcentral.